This 838-nucleotide ribosomal RNA is filed under the name Bacillus sp. (in: firmicutes). RNAcentral describes it as "bacterial SSU rRNA". It matches the Rfam family "Bacterial small subunit ribosomal RNA", at positions 67 to 885 of the family's 1533-position model. The record is from RNAcentral. Lineage: Bacteria; Bacillati; Bacillota; Bacilli; Caryophanales; Bacillaceae.
CGGACAGAUGGGAGCUUGCUCCCUGAUGAUUAGCGGCGGACGGGUGAGUAACACGUGGGUAACCUGCCUGUAAGACUGGGAUAACUCCGGGAAACCGGGGCUAAUACCGGAUGGUUGUUUGAACCGCAUGGUUCAAACAUAAAAGGUGGCUUCGGCUACCACUUACAGAUGGACCCGCGGCGCAUUAGCUAGUUGGUGAGGUAACGGCUCACCAAGGCAACGAUGCGUAGCCGACCUGAGAGGGUGAUCGGCCACACUGGGACUGAGACACGGCCCAGACUCCUACGGGAGGCAGCAGUAGGGAAUCUUCCGCAAUGGACGAAAGUCUGACGGAGCAACGCCGCGUGAGUGAUGAAGGUUUUCGGAUCGUAAAGCUCUGUUGUUAGGGAAGAACAAGUACCGUUCGAAUAGGGCGGUACCUUGACGGUACCUAACCAGAAAGCCACGGCUAACUACGUGCCAGCAGCCGCGGUAAUACGUAGGUGGCAAGCGUUGUCCGGAAUUAUUGGGCGUAAAGGGCUCGCAGGCGGUUUCUUAAGUCUGAUGUGAAAGCCCCCGGCUCAACCGGGGAGGGUCAUUGGAAACUGGGGAACUUGAGUGCAGAAGAGGAGAGUGGAAUUCCACGUGUAGCGGUGAAAUGCGUAGAGAUGUGGAGGAACACCAGUGGCGAAGGCGACUCUCUGGUCUGUAACUGACGCUGAGGAGCGAAAGCGUGGGGAGCGAACAGGAUUAGAUACCCUGGUAGUCCACGCCGUAAACGAUGAGUGCUAAGUGUUAGGGGGUUUCCGCCCCUUAGUGCUGCAGCUAACGCAUUAAGCACUCCGCCUGGGGAGUACGG